Molecule: long non-coding RNA, 1803 nt
Filed under: Oryzias sinensis (Chinese medaka)
Lineage: Eukaryota; Metazoa; Chordata; Actinopteri; Beloniformes; Adrianichthyidae
Description: lncRNA (ENSOSIG00000018688.1)
Source: RNAcentral
CAAAAGUAUUCUUUUCAUUCUUAAACUUAUUUCUUAAUUUCUCAUAGCUGUUUUCUUUAUUUUUGUAAAAUUUGUAGUUUUUCUCAUAGUUGUACAAUUUUAUUCUCGUUGAAUUUUGAUUUUUUUUUUUCCUUAUAAGACGUACAGAUAUUCAAAAGGUUGUAAAGUUGAACUUCCUGAUUUGUCAACUGGUGUAAGUCCAAUGUCAUUUUGGAAGCUCCAGUCUAAAAAGCCCCGCCCAUCUUUGAACGCUCCCUAGAGCGGCGGAGCUCGCCCCGGGACACUUAGGGCAGCAAGGUGAGGUAAACCGGCCCCCGGGCGGGACGGGGAGGCAGCCUGCUGAACCUUAUAUUUCUUUUUUCCCUUUUUUAUGGAGGCAAUAAUUAAAUAAAAGCUAAAGCUAAACCAACACUAGGCGUAAGGAGGGCCUUCUAUAUCCAAAGAGUAUUGGAAACAGGAAGUGAUGUCAGAGACGGGAUGCACUCUUGUACUCAUCGUCCACAACUUUUCCAAGAGGAGCAAACCACAACCUGCAAACGUGGAAAACUUUCUCUCAAAUGUAGAAGAAUUGAACAAAAAAAGGAAAGUUAAUUAAGCCAAAUUUCUGUCUAUUUUAUACCCUUUUUGAGGAGGCGUCCUCUUUGCCUCCACAUCCCUCCCACGUCACCUCGCCGAGACCCAUCUGUGUCUAGAAGAAAGUAUGAUGAAACCACCAAACAAUGAGCGAACGUAAAGAACACAAAUGUGGCGACGCGUUUCUUGAAGGGCGGGCAUUUUGGAAGGAGCGAAUGGGAGACGGGAAGAGCGGAGGGAGGCGUGUGUUCAAAAAUUCACAAAGGUUUUGUAAUAAAUGCGUCCAUGACAAUAAAAACAAAAACAUUAAAGGGAGAAAAGACAUGUUUCUGUGUUAAACAAUUAGUGCUGCAGCAUUAGAGGCGAUCAGGAGGAGACAAAAGCGCUGCAGCGGCAGGGGGUUUACCCCAGACACAAAGACACAAAGACAGAUGCUCUGCAGCCCAGCCAAGCUGCAGCACCACUCCGGUUCGGCGGUUUGGAAGCUCGGAGGGAUCUUUGGGUUCGUUCUGGGGAGACUGUGAGCUGCAGUUUGUCUACGUCAUCGGCUCGUCUGGAUAAUUAAAUUCAUUUGUGACCACGAGCUACCAGACAUCCACGACAACAACGCAGCAUUUAAAACUUCCGCAAAAGUUACCGCCCCCUCCUAUUUGGUGACGAGAAAAGGUGCUUUUGCCUGCGUAAAUAUUUAGGACUUUCCAAACCUGCGUGGCCUCCUUUGGUAAAGCAGCUGCAUUUUUUAGCCAGAAUUAUCGAAACGAUCUUUUUCUGAAACCAGCAGUCAGAUUCAAGUCUGUCUUCUGCUAGAAGGACCUUGAACCGAUUUUUCCUGUGUUUGUGUCUUCUUCAGCAUUUGCUGGUAAUUAAUGUUCAUAAUUAACGGCAACAGGCAAGCAGCCCCACACCAUCACACUACCACCACCAUGUUUGAGUGUUAAUUCAAUAAAGUUCAUUGUGACUACAAAGUUAACUAAGUUCUUAAGUUAUUUUUUCUCAGACACGGUUUGUGUUUGUCAACAUACCUUACACGUUUCGGUGGAAUCACUUCCACCUUCGUCAGAGUCGUCAUCAGGUGGUGGUGAUGUGACGUCUUUAAAAACAGAUGAUUCUGACGGGGCGGAGUCACCUGUCAGACUUUGACAAGUGACUCCGCCCCUUGAUGUCAGUUUUAUUGCUGGAGGAUGUUGCUCCAGGUGUGGGAGAGAAGUAAGGCCACCUCAUCCCGGUUCA